RNAcentral lists this long non-coding RNA (385 nucleotides) under Lathyrus oleraceus (garden pea). Its description in RNAcentral is "Pisum sativum (pea) long non-coding RNA (PSAT_LNC003538)". The record is from RNAcentral. Lineage: Eukaryota; Viridiplantae; Streptophyta; Magnoliopsida; Fabales; Fabaceae.
AAAGUCAAGGCAGCAAGGAAAAGUCAACCCAAACCAAGUCUAAACAUUCAAGAAGCAUUCUCAAUUGGAUUCAUAAUUAUAUCAUGCAUCAUUGUCAUUUCAUAUGCAAAAGAAUGCAAAGCAUGGCAAGAAAGAGCACAAAUAGGUCAACAGCAAGACUUCAUCCAAAAGUCAACCCAAACAAUCUCAAAAAUCAUGAAAUAAAUCACAUUCAAUCCUAACAUAUAGCAUAGCAAUCAUGUCAAAUUUCAAUGCAUUUGGAUGAGAGGAAGGCAGUCAAUUAAAAUCAUGAAGUCAAACCAAAUUCAAGUAAGCAUGGUGAAAGUCAACAAGCAUGGAUCAACUUCAAAAAAUCAUAUCAAUUUGAAAACAGAAGAGAAAUGAG